Molecule: ribosomal RNA, 1459 nt
Filed under: uncultured bacterium
Lineage: Bacteria
Description: bacterial SSU rRNA
Rfam family: Bacterial small subunit ribosomal RNA
Source: RNAcentral
AUUGAACGCUGGCGGCAGGCUUAACACAUGCAAGUCGAGCGGAGCGAGGGUGCUUGCACCUUAGCUUAGCGGCGGACGGGUGAGUAAUGCUUAGGAAUCUGCCUAUUAGUGGGGGACAACGUUCCGAAAGGGACGCUAAUACCGCAUACGCCCUACGGGGGAAAGCAGGGGAUCUUCGGACCUUGCGCUAAUAGAUGAGCCUAAGUCGGAUUAGCUAGUUGGUGGGGUAAAGGCCUACCAAGGCGACGAUCUGUAGCGGGUCUGAGAGGAUGAUCCGCCACACUGGGACUGAGACACGGCCCAGACUCCUACGGGAGGCAGCAGUGGGGAAUAUUGGACAAUGGGCGAAAGCCCGAUCCAGCCAUGCCGCGUGUGUGAAGAAGGCCUUUUGGUUGUAAAGCACUUUAAGCGAGGAGGAGGCUCCCUAGAUUAAUACUCUAGGUGAGUGGACGUUACUCGCAGAAUAAGCACCGGCUAACUCUGUGCCAGCAGCCGCGGUAAUACAGAGGGUGCGAGCGUUAAUCGGAUUUACUGGGCGUAAAGCGUACGUAGGCGGCUUUUUAAGUCGGAUGUGAAAUCCCUGAGCUUAACUUAGGAAUUGCAUUCGAUACUGGGAAGCUAGAGUAUGGGAGAGGAUGGUAGAAUUCCAGGUGUAGCGGUGAAAUGCGUAGAGAUCUGGAGGAAUACCGAUGGCGAAGGCAGCCAUCUGGCCUAAUACUGACGCUGAGGUACGAAAGCAUGGGGAGCAAACAGGAUUAGAUACCCUGGUAGUCCAUGCCGUAAACGAUGUCUACUGGCCGUUGGGGCCUUUGAGGCUUUAGUGGCGCAGCUAACGCGAUAAGUAGACCGCCUGGGGAGUACGGUCGCAAGACUAAAACUCAAAUGAAUUGACGGGGGCCCGCACAAGCGGUGGAGCAUGUGGUUUAAUUCGAUGCAACGCGAAGAACCUUACCUGGUCUUGACAUACAGAGAACUUUCCAGAGAUGGAUUGGUGCCUUCGGGAACUCUGAUACAGGUGCUGCAUGGCCGUCGUCAGCUCGUGUCGUGAGAUGUUGGGUUAAGUCCCGCAACGAGCGCAACCCUUUUCCUUAUUUGCCAGCACUUCGGGUGGGAACUUUAAGGAUACUGCCAGUGACAAACUGGAGGAAGGCGGGGACGACGUCAAGUCAUCAUGGCCCUUACGACCAGGGCUACACACGUGCUACAAUGGUCGGUACAAAGGGUUGCUACCUCGCGAGAGGAUGCUAAUCUCAAAAAGCCGAUCGUAGUCCGGAUUGGAGUCUGCAACUCGACUCCAUGAAGUCGGAAUCGCUAGUAAUCGCGGAUCAGAAUGCCGCGGUGAAUACGUUCCCGGGCCUUGUACACACCGCCCGUCACACCAUGGGAGUUUGUUGCACCAGAAGUAGGUAGUCUAACCGUAAGGAGGACGCUUACCACGGUGUGGCCAAUGACUGGGGUG